This 110-nucleotide ribosomal RNA is filed under the name Castor canadensis (American beaver). The record is from RNAcentral. Lineage: Eukaryota; Metazoa; Chordata; Mammalia; Rodentia; Castoridae.
UAUAGAGAGUACAUCAACACAUACUACGUGCUUGGUCUCAUCUGAUCUCAGAAGCUAAGCAGGGUCAGUCCUGGUUAGUACUUGGAUAGGAGCCAUAGUCUCUUCAACAA